GACGAACGCUGGCGGCAUGCCUAACACAUGCAAGUCGAACGAGACCUUCGGGUCUAGUGGCGCACGGGUGCGUAACGUGUCGGAACCUGCCCUUAGGCUCGGACUAACUCCCCGAAAGGGGUGCUAAUAACGGCUAAUGUCUUCGGACCAAAGAUUUAUCGCCUCGGGAUGGGCCCGCGUUGGAUUAGCUAGUUGGUAGGGUAAUAGCCUACCAAGGCGACGAUCCAUAGCUGGUCUGAGAGGAUGAGCAGCCACACUGGGACUGAGACACGGCCCAGACUCCUACGGGAGGCAGCAGUAGGGAAUAUUGGGCAAUGGGCGAAAGCCUGAUCCAGCAAUGCCGCGUGAGUGAUGAAGGCCUUAGGGUUGUAAAGCUCUGUUACCCGGGAUGAUAAUGACAGUACCGGGAGAAUAAGCUCCGGCUAACUCCGUG
This 433-nucleotide ribosomal RNA is filed under the name uncultured bacterium. Its description in RNAcentral is "partial 16S ribosomal RNA". It matches the Rfam family "Bacterial small subunit ribosomal RNA", at positions 28 to 507 of the family's 1533-position model. The record is from RNAcentral.